GAGAAAAUUUUGUCAUUUCCAAGUUGGGCUAGUACUUCGUUUAUAUCGGGUAAGGGGUAUUUAUCCGCUAUAGUCACCUGUUAAGUUUCCUAUAAUCGAUGACCAUACGAUAUUUCUUUUCACCUGAUGCGUCUGCUUUUUUUGGAAUAACCCACACUGGCCCAAGGCGGAUGUAACAUGAUCGUACACUUGAAGGCUACAAAGUAUAAGUGCAUGGUCAGCAUUCCCACGCCGACCAAAUUCAUAAUACAUAAGUACAUAGUUCGUGUAUGUACUGUACUGUACAGCCUGACGGCUGCAAUCAAAACCAAAAGACUUGUAUUAUCAAUGAACGACCCAUUACAUGGCGACCGUGACAGUCGUCCAACGACAGACAAAUUGACGAAAUAAUAAACACAUAUUGGAGAAAAACUGGACUGGAAGGCUGAGGAAGAAUAACGAGGAAUCAUUACAUGGAACUUACAAUUGCCAAAACUGAGGAAAAAUCUGAGUGAGUAGAGUUGUAUUGAGUUAUGGGAAAACACCGUGGCAGUCUAAAAACCAAACUGAACAAACGUAUAGCCCACGUAAGGUGGCUAAUAUACGGCCAGCGAACGCCACCGGCUUGGUCGAAAGCUCUAAAGCUACAUGCAGAGCUAGAUCACUUGCUGCAAUAUCAGCAAGAAUUGAAGACCCAAAAACUCGAGAAAACUCACUCAGAAAAUACUACAAAUAUAACAAUAAUUAAUAAAGUUCCAAAAACAAAGGCAUGUCCAGCACCAGCACCAGCACUAACGAAGCCAAAAAAAACCUGCCCCCGGGACUGCGAAGGAGUCUGGAGUCCUCACUGCCUGGGGACUAGUGGGCCAUCAACAUCAUCAGCAGCCCAGAAAUAGACAGCAGCGAGGGAGUGUCAGCGUGCCACCCCCGGCGACGCCCAGCUGACACCAGGAGAUAAACAUAAGCAGCAGUAAAAUGUUAACUAAUUAACAAUAAAUAUAAAUAUAUAUAUAUAAGAAAAAUUGUAAUACACAUUGUAAAAUGGAGCAUAUACUACUAUGCCCUGUUAACCCAAUAUGGCCCGUGAAGCCAUAGCUAGAAUCAGGCAGGCAAUAAUGUAAAACAAAAUUUUUUUUUUGACUAACAUUGACAAAAUUUAAGAAAGAAAUAAUUGCCAAUAUAAAUCUCUAUAGAAACAAAUGGAAUAAGCAAAACUAAAAACAUAUAUAAAAAUAAAGAAGAUUUUUUACCAAACUAUAAAAUUAGUAUACCCAAAAUGGGUCUGAUAAGCACUAAAACUGUUGACUCAACAGCAAAUGUUAUAAAUAAAAUGGAAGUCCAAAAUGCAGAAUUGUUCUGGAUAACCAUAAUACUAAUUGUAAUUGCUCUAAUUAUGGUAUCCAAUGCAUUAAUAAAAAUAUACAAAGUACAUAGCAAGUGCCUUAGAAAACGAUACCGUAGCACUGCUAACGGUUUAGAUAAUAUUUAAAGGAAAUUAUGAGGGAACUCAAUUAUAAACGAAAAUAUAAAAAAAAAUUGAAAAAAAAUAAUAAUAAAGUAAAACAAACGUAAUAUUGACUUUAUCUAGAUUAGAAUCCAAAAAUAUAUAGCAAUAGCGAACCACGAGUGUAGCUCAAACACAGUUUAUGAAGAAUAUGACCCCGAUUUUAAGAAUAAAGCAUUAUAAGUAAUAUUCAAAUGUCUAAAUUCGAAAGUAUAAGUAUACCACAGCAUGGACUGGGAAAAGCUUAUUGAUCAGAUAAAAGAAUCAAAAGAAAAUUUCAAAAAAUCUUAUAAAUGCUUGACGCAAAAUAUAUCAAUACAAGCUGUACCGAUAAAUAAAAUUGCCCAAACAUUGGUAAAUAGUUACAAUGAAGUCAGAGAACUGAUACAACAGAAUAGAAAGAAUUUGGACAGUAAACAGUGUGCUAACGUUUCGGAACUACUGGUGGCAUUAAGAGAAAAAUUAAUAUUAAUAAAAAAUAAAUUCAGCCUCCAGAUAGAAAUUCCGACAAUAGUAAACACUCCGUUAACAAUAAAUUUUAAUGAAGAAAGCACUGACUCAGACGAAGAAAAUACGACUGUAGUCGAGGAAGAUAUUAAAGAGGAAGAUCUUCACAAUCUAACUAUACCAGCAAAAUUAGUGCUGAAGGAAAAAAAUAAAACAAAUAACGCAGCUGACUCAGAAAAUAAAUUAACCAUGGCAGAACAAGCCGCAGCCAUUAGGUCUUACAAUAAGGAAGUCGCUUGCGCAGUGCCAGAAUUUGAUGGGUAAGAGAUCCAUUUACAACGAUUCAUUAAGGCAAUCAAAUUGGUAGACCUAGCUAAGGGACCAUUUGAAGACAUUGCAGUUGAGGUCCUUAAGUCAAAAAUAGUUGGAACAAUUUUGAACUCAGUUGACAAUGAAACGAAAAUUCCAGAAAUGAUAAACAAAUGGCAGAAAGUAGUCGUAGGUGAAACUUCCAGUAAUGUCAAGGCAAAACUAGCAACAGUUCAGCAAAGAGGUAAAACUGCAAUGCAAUUUACCGCUGAAGUUGAUAGACUGAGAAAGCUAUUCCUUUAUCCUUCCUUUAUCGAUGAGGGUAUACCUCUCGAACAUGCCACUGGUCUAAGCACUAAAGAGGCAAUUGACACCACGAUAAAUCGUGCUGAGCACAAAAGUAUAAAAACAAUACUGGAAGCAGGGACUUGCACCACUAUGGAUGCAGCGAUUAGCGCAUACUUAAGAACGAGCGCAAGAGUUACCGGUGACAUCAAUAAAGUGAUGUACUUUAGAGGUAACAGAUCCAACAGAGAAUACGGAAAUGCCAAUAGAGGUGCUAACCGAGGUAGAGGCUUCAAUAACAAUGGUAAUAGAGGCAACUAUAAUAACGGUUACCAAAAUAACGGUUACCAGAAUAACGGUUAUCAAAACCGCUAUAAUAGUAAUAAUAACCGCUAUAAUGGCUAUAAUAGAGGCCGCAAUAAUCUAAACAGAGGCCGUAACAACAACCAGAAUAACAAUAACGGAAAUAAUGCCAAUGUACGAGUAAUCCAAGAUCAGGGAAACUCGCAACAGCCUUUAGGUACUCAGUAGAAGAAGAUCGUAGAGUACACGCCAUCAAUUAUAAUCUCAAUAUAUUUUCCACAUUCAUUCAUGCCGAAACAGGUGUAAAACUAGUUUUUCUUCUUGAUACAGGUGCAGAUAUCUCUGCACGACAGAUUCUGACCAAUUAGUCUAUAUGGACACUUUAAAAUAUGAGCCACUUUCGAACUACAAUGUAGUUCAGGCAAAUAGUGAAAACAGAAAUAAAACUGUCUUAUCUCAAUUAAAGAAAAAUUUCCCCGAAUUAUUCAAAUCACAAUUAGAAAAUAUAUGCAGCGAAUAUAUAGAUAUAUUUGCAUUAGAAUCAGAACCAAUAACAGUUCAUAAUUUUUAUAAACAACAGUUGAGAUUAAAAGAUGAUGAGCCGGUAUACACAAAAAAUUAUAGAAGUCCUCAUAGUCAAGUAGAAGAAAUGCAAGCCCAAGUUCAGAAAUUAAUAAAAGAUAAAAUAGUUGAACCAUCAGUUUCACAGUACAAUAGCCCUUUGCUAUUAGUACCUAAAAAGUCAAGCCCAAAUUCAGAUUAAAAGAAAUGGAGAUUAGUAAUAGACUAUCGCCAAAUUAAUAAGAAACUUUUAGCUGACAAAUUUCCACUACCGAGAAUAGAUGAUAUUUUGGACCAACUUGGUCGAGCAAAAUAUUUCUCCUGCCUUGAUUUAAUGUCAGGUUUUCAUCAAAUCGAACUAGAUGAAGGCUCGAGAGAUAUAACAUCUUUCUCAACCAACAAUGGCUCAUAUCGUUUCACGCGAUUGCCAUUUGGCUUAAAAAUAGCGCCUAAUUCAUUUCAAAGAAUGAUGACUAUAGCAUUCUCCGGAAUAGAACCGUCUCAGGCAUUCCUUUAUAUGGAUGACUUAAUAGUCAUAGGUUGUUCCGAAAAACAUAUGCUUAAAAACCUCACUGAAGUUUUUGGUAAAUGUAGGGAAUACAACCUAAAGUUACAUCCUGAAAAAUGUUCAUUUUUCAUGCAUGAAGUCACAUUUUUAGGACAUAAAUGCACAGACAAAGGAAUUUUGCUGGAUGAUUAAAAACAUGAUGUCAUUCAGAACUACCCAGUUCCACAUGAUGCGGACAGCGCUAGACGUUUUGUAACAUUUUGCAAUUACUACAGACGUUUUAUCAAAAAUUUCGCCGACUAUUCGCGGCACAUAACAAGAUUAUGUAAAAAGAAUGCUCCAUUCGAGUGGACAGAUAAUUGUCAAAAUGCAUUCGCACAUUUAAAAUCUCAGCUAAUUAACCCAACACUCUUGCAGUACCCAGACUUCAGCAAAGAAUUUUGCAUAAUAACAGAUGCAAGCAAGCAAGCGUGUGGCGCAGUUUUAACUCAAAACCAUAAUGGCCACCAACUCCCAGUUGCUUAUGCAUCAAGAGCUUUUACGAAAGGUGAAAGCAAUAAGAGUACAACAGAACAAGAGUUAGCAGCAGUUCAUUGGGCAGUAGUACAUUUUAGACCAUACAUUUACGAAAAACACUUCACUGUGAAAACAGACCAUAGACCAUUGACAUAUUUAUUCUCGAUGGUCAACCCCAGUUCUAAAUUAACAAGAAUAAGGCUUGAAUUAGAGGAAUAUAAUUUUACGGUAGAGUAUCUAAAGGGCAAGACAAUCAUGUAGCUGAUGCGUUAUCAAGAAUAACCAUCAAAGAGCUAAAAGAAAUAACUGGAAAUAUAUUAAAAGUCACUACAAGAUUUCAAAGUAGACAAAAAUCCUGCGCAGGAAAAGAACAAUUGGAUUUGCAUGAGCAAACCAAAGAAAAAGCUUCAGAGCCCAACGUAUACGUAGUCAUAACAAAUGACGAGGUACGAAAAGUAGUAACAUUGCAAUUGAAUGACACGACAUGUUUAUUUAAACAUGGAAAGAUAAUCGUUGCAAGAUAUGAUGUUGGUGAUCUUUACACUAAUGGAAUUCUUGAUCUAGAUCAAUUUUUUCAAAGGCUUGAAUUGCAAGCCAGUAUAUAUGAUAUCAGCCAACUCAAAAUGGCACCGUGGGAGAAAAUCUUUGAACACGUUUCAAUAGAUGAAUUUUAAAAUAUGGGCAAUAUAAUAUUAAAGAAUUUAAAAGUAGCGCUACUUAUCCCGGUGACCCAAAUAAAUAAUGAAAAAAAAAAGAAACUAUAUUGUCUACACUACAUGAUGAUCCAAUACAAGGAGGGCAUACAGGCAUUACAAAAACCUUGGCCAAGGUCAAAAGAUAUUACUAUUGGAAAAAUAUGAGUAAAUACAUAAAAGAGUACGUAAGAAAAUGUCAAAAAUGCCUAAAGCAAAAACAACAAAGCAUAGAAAGACUCUAAUGACUAUAAGUGACACACCAGAACAUGCUUUCGAUAGAGUUGUCGUGGACACAAUUGGUCCACUACCUAAGUCAGAAAAUGGUAACGAGUACGCAGUCACUCUCAUAUGUGAUUUAACCAAGUACUUAGUUGCCAUACCAAUA
Molecule: long non-coding RNA, 5492 nt
Organism: Drosophila simulans
Lineage: Eukaryota; Metazoa; Arthropoda; Insecta; Diptera; Drosophilidae
Exons: 2
Source: RefSeq, a predicted model, not a curated record